Molecule: ribosomal RNA, 497 nt
Filed under: uncultured bacterium
Lineage: Bacteria
Description: partial 16S ribosomal RNA
Rfam family: Bacterial small subunit ribosomal RNA
Source: RNAcentral
GAUGAACGCUGGCGGCGUGCCUAAUACAUGCAAGUCGAGCGAACAGACGAGGAGCUUGCUCCUCUGACGUUAGCGGCGGACGGGUGAGUAACACGUGGAUAACCUACCUAUAAGACUGGGAUAACUUCGGGAAACCGGAGCUAAUACCGGAUAAUAUAUUGAACCGCAUGGUUCAAUAGUGAAAGACGGUUUUGCUGUCACUUAUAGAUGGAUCCGCGCCGCAUUAGCUAGUUGGUAAGGUAACGGCUUACCAAGGCAACGAUGCGUAGCCGACCUGAGAGGGUGAUCAGCCACACUGGAAGUGAGACACGGUCCAGACUCCUAAGGGAGGCAGCAGUAGGGAAUCUUCCGCAAUGGGCGAAAGCCUGACGGAGCAACGCCGCGUGAGUGAUGAAGGUCUUCGGAUCGUAAAACUCUGUUAUUAGGGAAGAACAAAUGUGUAAGUAACUAUGCACGUCUUGACGGUACCUAAUCAGAAAGCCACGGCUAACUAGGUG